AUGGCCGUCUCCCGCCUCAACCCCGUAGCCUCGCCUUACCUUCCGAUGACACUCGCUUCCACGUGGUGCUACCCCUCUCCUUUCUCCUACCCGCCGUCUCCGCCCCCACUCCCGCCGGCGCACGGGUGGCCUUUUGCCUACGGCGGCGACUGGUGCCACACAGUGGGGAUGCCCUCGUUCCCGCUGCAGACAGCAUAUGGGUACCCCGCUCCAUUGAUGGUGUAUUGCUGCACGGCGCCGCCACCGCCACCGCAAUCGGCGACCCGUUGUCGAAUCACGGAGAUCAUCGAGGAUGGAGGCGAGGUAGCCUCGAAGGAAGAGGUAAGGUACGAGCGUUCCCCGCGCUCCGUCCUCACUCCUUGGAGCAGAGAGCCGCCCACUUCGCCCCUGCUACCGCGAGCGCCGCUUCUGCGUCCCCCGCCGCGUACGUCUUCCGCGGGACCGCGCCGCCUCCAGUGGCCACGCCUCGCCUUCAACCCCAAAGAGAACAACACGUCCCUGAUGAUUCGCAAUAUUCCCAAUAAAUUUAUGAAGAGGAGAUUCAUGGCCAUCCUCGACCAGCACUGCGCCGAGGAGAACGCCAAGCUCGGCCGCGACGGCGAAGGGGUCAGGUCCGAGUACGACUUCCUCUACGUCCCCGUCGACUUCCGGACGAGGUUCAACAAGGGCUACGCCUUCGUGAACAUGACAACGGCGGCGGCGGCGCGGCGGCUCCACGCGCACCUCAACGGCCACCGCUGGGAGGCCGCGGGCUCCAAGAAGGUGUGCGACGUCGUGCACGCGCGCCUGGAGGGGCUGGACGGGCUCGUGGCGCACUUCUCGGCGUCGUGGUUCCCCUGCGGCGGCCGCAAGGAUUUCCUGCCGGUGCGCUUCGAGCCGCCGCGCGACGGCGUACGUUGGACGGCGGAGCACGUGGUCGGCCACCUCCAGCCUCCCCGCUCCUGCUGA
RNAcentral lists this ribosomal RNA (948 nucleotides) under Triticum aestivum (bread wheat). RNAcentral's name for it is "partial small subunit ribosomal RNA". The record is from RNAcentral. Lineage: Eukaryota; Viridiplantae; Streptophyta; Magnoliopsida; Poales; Poaceae.